This 465-nucleotide ribosomal RNA is filed under the name uncultured bacterium. RNAcentral's name for it is "partial 16S ribosomal RNA". It matches the Rfam family "Bacterial small subunit ribosomal RNA", at positions 28 to 507 of the family's 1533-position model. The record is from RNAcentral.
GACGAACGCUGGCGGCGUGCUUAACACAUGCACUUUGAACGAAGAGGCCCUGCUUGCUGUUUGCUCGAAUGUCGAACGAGUACGUAACUCGCAGGUGAUCUGCCCUGCACAUCGUGAUAAGCUUAGGACACUCUGUCUAUUACCGUGCUGGAACGAUCCUUAGCAUGUUGGUUGGACAGAUUUUUCGGUGUAGGAUGGGCUCGCGGCCUAUCAGCUUGUUGGUGGGGUAAUGGCCUACCAAGGCGGCGCCGGGUAGCCGGCCUGAGAGGGUGUACGGCCACAUUGGGGCUGGGAUACGGCCCAGACUCCUACGGGAGGCAGCAGUGGGGAAUAUUGCACAAUGGGAGCAAGCCUGAUGCAGCGAUGCGGCGUGGGGGAGGAAGGCCUUCGGGUUGUAAACUCCUUUCGCUAGGGACGAAGCGUGUAGUGACGGGACCUAGAUAAGAAGCACCGGCUAACUACGUG